CAGAAAUAACAUGACUUCACCCGCAGGAAGAGAAAACUUAUGCAAGGAAGAGAGGAGAGCACCUACCCACAGGAGGGUCUCAUGCCAGUAUAUAGGCAGGCAGCAGCAAUGGGAAAUCAGCAAGACUCUCCAGGAGAAAAGUUUUGGCUGUGGCAUGGAAACAGUGGAUUCAUUGUCAUGCUAAGGAGAGGCUACCAUCGAAAUUUUAAGAACCCAGACUGAAACAGAUUAAAGUAAGAAAAGGAUCGGAAACGCUGUCACCCAGAUGUAAUAUGUUGGUUCUCUUCUGCAUCCACGGGAUCAUGUAACAAUCAAGUGACUUUUUAGAUCCAGUCUUCAUUAUUACUUCAUUAUUGCGGCUUGCUUAUCACCCUCUUCCCUGCUCCCCACCCUACCAACCCCACUAAUAUCCCAGUCUGUGUCCUAUACCUUUCAUCAUGCGCACCUGAUCACAGUGUGUCAAGAACAUGCACCCAGCAUCAAAGCAUGUCUCCCAUCAAUGGGCAACUGUGACACCCUGUCCUGCAGCCAGGUCUGGGGGCCAGAAAAUGC
Tupaia belangeri chinensis (Chinese tree shrew) is the source of this 552-nucleotide long non-coding RNA. RefSeq lists it as uncharacterized. The transcript is spliced from 3 exons. The record is from RefSeq and is a predicted model, not a curated record. NCBI's taxonomy places the organism in Eukaryota, Metazoa, Chordata, Mammalia, Scandentia, Tupaiidae.